GUAAAGGACCUUUUAUAGGAAUGGUGAUGGAUCACUAAUAUGGGUAUAGUGAGCCACAUAUGCAACGUACGGGACGGUAUUGUAUCAUCUUGAAAACAUACUCGAUUUCAUAUUCAAUCAGCAGGUUUCCAAGUCAGCAUUGUCCAGGAGUCGACCGUCUCGGAGUCAAUGGCACCCUAAGAAGAGUACCACCAGCCAUAGUGUCACCCUUGAACCAAGGCAUAGUAACAAGUAUACGUAACCGCGUUAGGCUGCCAAACAACCAGGUUGAAUGAAGACCUCAUCCUCGAGGCCAGGUAGCCCUUUUCUGGUAGGUGGGCCCCUGAUCGUCCUGACCGCACCGCGAAACCGGCUACAAAAUGUUUUAUUUACGAGGUCCGCUUCGGUGCAUCGAGUAGUGGCUGGGCAUCCCCUCGAGGAGCAGUCAGGAACGUGACAAAGUGACGGGGCCUGUUCUGCACGGUGCGGAAUCUGGGCCUGACGCUGGCUUUUCUGCGACAAGUGCCAUUGUGCUAUCUCCUGCGCUGACUGGGGCGGCAUCUCCAAAAGCAUCGUCCUCCAUUUCUUACGUCCCGCUUCGUGCGUCUCUUGGGAUUGAAGGAGAUGGCCUAUAUAACAUUUCUAGGUACAUAGACUCUGAAUUGUCACAUGUGGAUCACUCGUACGUU
Molecule: long non-coding RNA, 668 nt
Organism: Cephus cinctus (wheat stem sawfly)
Lineage: Eukaryota; Metazoa; Arthropoda; Insecta; Hymenoptera; Cephidae
Exons: 3
Source: RefSeq, a predicted model, not a curated record